GACGAACAAGAAGACAUCUUCCCCGUUCUUCAGAAAAAAAGUCCCGAUGAGUUCUACGGCCUCAUGGGACGAUCGGCUGACAUCGAGCAAGCGCUGAGUCAGAGCAAUGGGAAGGCGAGCAAGUGGGAAGACGGCAGCCUCCACUUACCCAUGUGACGGCAACGCCUGGCGGUGGGGAUGCAGGGGCACGUCCUGCGCUGGAGAUGGAGUCGAAUUCGAGUGAAACCCCCCCCCCCCAUUCCCCCGUGUAUCGUCACCGAUCGGGUUGUUGUUUGUCAUCAAUGCGAUGUCGCGUGUGUCGCCGGCAACGACCGCCCCAAUUUACCCGUCGCCCCUACCCAGCGCUGAGCCAGAUCCACACCCGAGCGAUCGGUUGCGUGCAACUUGGUUGCGUGCAACCUGGUUGCCACUCGGUUGCUUGCGACUCAGCUGCGUGUAACUUCGCUGCAACUUGGUUGCCACUCGGUUGCUUGCAACUCGGCUACGUGCAACUUCGCUGCAACUUGGUUACUUGGUUACUACUCAGUUGCUUGCAACUCGGCUGCGUGUAACUUUGCUGCAACUUGGUUGCCACUCGGUUGCUUGCAACUCGGCUAUGUGCAACUUCGCUGCAACUUGGUUGCCACUCAGUUGCUUGCAACUCGGCUAUGUGCAACUUCGCUGCAACUUGGUUGCCACUCAGUUGCUUGCGACUCGGCUACGUGUCACUUCGCUGCAACUCGGUUGCAACUCAGUCGCAUGCAACUCGGUUAAAUGCAACUUGCCUCCGCGUAAUAUGGUUGCAACCUGCUUACGUGCAACCCGCUUGCAUGCCAAUCGGUUGCAGGCAACUUUCUUGCGACUCAGUUGCGCGCCGCUUGCUCUCGUGCAACCGACUCGCCGCUUGGGACGGCCUCGGCUCUCGCCCAAUUUGCCGGGACGCGUUUCAUUCGUUUCAUUCGUUUCAUUCGUCACUGUUGCCACACGAUGGUGAGGUUGGGUCAAAGCCCCACAAAGCAUUUAGCGUAGAACUCC
Lethenteron reissneri (Far Eastern brook lamprey) is the source of this 1014-nucleotide long non-coding RNA. RefSeq lists it as uncharacterized. NCBI's taxonomy places the organism in Eukaryota, Metazoa, Chordata, Hyperoartia, Petromyzontiformes, Petromyzontidae. The record is from RefSeq and is a predicted model, not a curated record.